This 425-nucleotide ribosomal RNA is filed under the name uncultured bacterium. Its description in RNAcentral is "partial 16S ribosomal RNA". It matches the Rfam family "Bacterial small subunit ribosomal RNA", at positions 354 to 796 of the family's 1533-position model. The record is from RNAcentral.
GUUAGGAAUAUUGGACAAUGGGCGCAAGCCUGAUCCAGCCAUGCCGCGUGAGUGAUGAAGGCCUUCGGGUUGUAAAGCUCUUUAGCCGAUGAUUAUAAUGACUGUAGUCGGAAAAUAAGCCCCGGCUAACUUCGUGCCAGCAGCCGCGGUAAUACGAAGGGGGCGAGCGUUAUUCGGAAUCACUGGGCGUAAAGCGUGCGUAGGCGGCUUUGCAAGUUGGGAGUGAAAGCCCAGGGCUCAACCCUGGAAUUGCUCUCAAAACUGCAAGGCUCGAAUUCGGGAGAGGAUAGCGGAAUUGUCAGUGUAGCAGUGAAAUGCGUAGAUAUUGACAGGAACACCAGUGGCGUAAGCGGCUAUCUGGACCGACAUUGACGCUGAGGCACGAAAGCGUGGGGAUCAAACAGGAUUAGAAACCCUAGUAGUCC